CGGUGGAGCAUGUGGUUUAAUUCGAAGACAACGCGAAGAACCUUACCAGGCCUUGACAUGCAGAGAACUUCCAGAGAUGGAUUGGUGCCUUCGGGAACUCUGACACAGGUGCUGCAUGGCUGUCGUCAGCUCGUGCGUGAGAUGUUGGGUUAAGUCCCGUAACGAGCGCAACCCUUGUCCUUAGUUACCAGCACGUUAUGGUGGGCACUCUAAGGAGACUGCCGGUGACAAACCGGAGGAAGGUGGGGAUGACGUCAAGUCAUCAUGGCCCUUACGGCCUGGGCUACACACGUGCUACAAUGGUCGGUACAAAGGGUUGCCAAGCCGCGAGGUGGAGCUAAUCCCAUAAAACCGAUCGUAGUCCGGAUCGCAGUCUGCAACUCGACUGCGUGAAGUCGGAAUCGCUAGUAAUCGUGAAUCAGAAUGUCACGGUGAAUACGUUCCCGGGCCUU
RNAcentral lists this ribosomal RNA (452 nucleotides) under uncultured Pseudomonas sp. RNAcentral's name for it is "bacterial SSU rRNA". It matches the Rfam family "Bacterial small subunit ribosomal RNA", at positions 930 to 1382 of the family's 1533-position model. Lineage: Bacteria; Pseudomonadati; Pseudomonadota; Gammaproteobacteria; Pseudomonadales; Pseudomonadaceae. The record is from RNAcentral.